Molecule: ribosomal RNA, 391 nt
Filed under: Paracalanus sp.
Lineage: Eukaryota; Metazoa; Arthropoda; Copepoda; Calanoida; Paracalanidae
Description: partial small subunit ribosomal RNA
Rfam family: Eukaryotic small subunit ribosomal RNA
Source: RNAcentral
AUUCCAGCUCCAAUAGCGUAUAUUAAAGUUGUUGUGGUUAAAAAGCUCGUAGUUGGAUCUCAACAGCCUUGAAGCGGUUAACUUUGUAGUUUUACUGCUUUAUAGGCUGUGCUUUUGCUGGAGGUUUAGGGGUGCUCUUGAUCGAGUGUCUCUGGAUGCCAGCAGGUUUACUUUGAAAAAAUUAGAGUGCUCAAAGCAGGCUAAAAUGCCUGAAUAUUCGUGCAUGGAAUAAUAGAAUAGGAUGUCGAUCCUAUUUUGUUGGUUUUCGGGACUCGACAUAAUGAUUAACAGGGACAGUCAGGGGCACUCGUAUUCCGCCGAGAGAGGUGAAAUUCUCAGACCAGCGGAAGACGAACCGCUGCGAAAGCAUUUGCCAGGGAUGUUUUCAUCG